RNAcentral lists this ribosomal RNA (564 nucleotides) under uncultured bacterium. Its description in RNAcentral is "partial 16S ribosomal RNA". It matches the Rfam family "Bacterial small subunit ribosomal RNA", at positions 355 to 910 of the family's 1533-position model. The record is from RNAcentral.
UGGGGAAUAUUGGACAAUGGGGGGAACCCUGAUCCAGCCAUGCCGCGUGUGUGAAGAAGGCCUUAUGGUUGUAAAGCACUUUAAGCGAGGAGGAGGCUACUAGUAUUAAUACUACUGGAUAGUGGACGUUACUCGCAGAAUAAGCACCGGCUAACUCUGUGCCAGCAGCCGCGGUAAUACAGAGGGUGCGAGCGUUAAUCGGAUUUACUGGGCGUAAAGCGUGCGUAGGCGGCCAUUUAAGUCAAAUGUGAAAUCCCGAGCUUAACUUGGGAAUUGCAUUCGAUACUGGAUGGCUAGAGUAUGGGAGAGGAUGGUAGAAUUCCAGGUGUAGCGGUGAAAUGCGUAGAGAUCUGGAGGAAUACCGAUGGCGAAGGCAGCCAUCUGGCCUAAUACUGACGCUGAGGUACGAAAGCAUGGGGAGCAAACAGGAUUAGAUACCCUGGUAGUCCAUGCCGUAAACGAUGUCUACUAGCCGUUGGGGCCUUUGAGGCUUUAGUGGCGCAGCUAACGCGAUAAGUAGACCGCCUGGGGAGUACGGUCGCAAGACUAAAAGCUUAAAGGGAA